GUGAACGCUGGCGGUAGGCCUAACACAUGCAAGUCGCACGGCAGCACAGUAAGAGCUUGCUCUUACGGGUGGCGAGUGGCGGACGGGUGAGGAAUACAUCGGAAUCUACUUUUUCGUGGGGGAUAACGUAGGGAAACUUACGCUAAUACCGCAUACGACCUAUGGGUGAAAGCAGGGGAUCUUCGGACCUUGCGCGAUUGAAUGAGCCGAUGUCGGAUUAGUUAGUUGGCGGGGUAAAGGCCCACCAAGGCGACGAUCCGUAGCUGGUCUGAGAGGAUGAUCAGCCACACUGGAACUGAGACACGGUCCAGACUCCUACGGGAGGCAGCAGUGGGGAAUAUUGGACAAUGGGCGCAAGCCUGAUCCAGCCAUACCGCGUGGGUGAAGAAGGCCUUCGGGUUGUAAAGCCCUUUUGUUGGGAAAGAAAAGCAGCAGGUUAAUACCCCGCUGUUCUGACGGUACCCAAAGAAUAAGCACCGGCUAACUUCGUG
Molecule: ribosomal RNA, 491 nt
Filed under: uncultured bacterium
Lineage: Bacteria
Description: partial 16S ribosomal RNA
Rfam family: Bacterial small subunit ribosomal RNA
Source: RNAcentral